Long non-coding RNA from Thalassophryne amazonica, 102 nucleotides. RefSeq lists it as uncharacterized. The transcript is spliced from 3 exons. The record is from RefSeq and is a predicted model, not a curated record. Lineage: Eukaryota; Metazoa; Chordata; Actinopteri; Batrachoidiformes; Batrachoididae.
GUCCACAGCUGCAGGUUCAGUUUCCUGACCAUAUUUGAGCUGGAUGAUGUCUGGGUUCAGUUGUUUUUUUCCCCAAAAUGGUGUCAAGCAGUGAUGCUGAAA